GUGUCAGCAGCCGCGGUAAUACGUAGGGUGCAAGCGUUAAUCGGAAUUACUGGGCGUAAAGCGUGCGCAGGCGGCUUUGCAAGACAGAUGUGAAAUCCCCGGGCUCAACCUGGGAACUGCAUUUGUGACUGCAUGGCUAGAGUACGGUAGAGGGGGAUGGAAUUCCGCGUGUAGCAGUGAAAUGCGUAGAUAUGCGGAGGAACACCGAUGGCGAAGGUAAUCCCCUGGACCUGUACUGACGCUCAUGCACGAAAGCGUGGGGAGCAAACAGGAUUAGAAACCCCAGUAGUCC
RNAcentral lists this ribosomal RNA (292 nucleotides) under uncultured Rhizobacter sp. Its description in RNAcentral is "partial 16S ribosomal RNA". It matches the Rfam family "Bacterial small subunit ribosomal RNA", at positions 505 to 796 of the family's 1533-position model. Lineage: Bacteria; Pseudomonadati; Pseudomonadota; Betaproteobacteria; Burkholderiales; Sphaerotilaceae. The record is from RNAcentral.